CUUCUCUCGUCUCCGAGAGACCGAGACCACGGCCCCCGACACCGCCGUCUCUCCCUCUCUCCCUCUCUCCCCGCCGCCUUGGUGACUCCCUCCCUCUCCUCUCAGUUAGCCAGCUACGCAUCCUAGUCUUACCUCCGACGGACGACGCAGCCUCCUCCGUGGACGGUGCUUCGCUCGAUCAAGACAGAACUUCACAGACAGGAAGCUUCAAUGCUUGGCAAUGGAAAUAAGGGCUCGGGAAUCUGUAAACAUGUCAGAGGACCUAACUGGGGCAAUUGCACCUUACGCCACCGCCCUGCAUGAUGUGUUCCUCCACUCCCAUUGCUCAUCAUGCUUCAGCAAGUUACCGCCACAAUCCCCCAGCACCAUGUCUUGCACAAUGUGCUGUUCUGUUCGAUACUGCUGCUCGGAGUGCUUAAGCUCAGAUUCAUUGGUGCAUUCUUCUUCUGGUGAAUGUUGCUUCUUUAUGGACCACCUCAAGAGAGCCUCCCCUAACUAUGUUACUGAAGGAACAAGUGAUUUACGUGCUACCCUCCGACUUCUUUAUGUGCUUGAGAUGCAUGAUCUUGUUUCAUCUGAUUCAAUCAACCAGUGCAGUAGGAUUGGUGGUCUUUCAGCAAGUGGUAUUGAGGAAGCUCUGGAGGAAGAUGAGGAGAUUGCUGAGAGGAUAUUGGAGGGGAGCCUAUUGAUGUCAUCUUGUAGAAAAUCAAGGGCACCGUCUUAUGUUAGUUUACCCGAUGGAGGUAAAGUUGAGAGGAUAACAUUAUGGGCAGUGAUUACAAAUAGUGUGGAGGUACAGCUUAGCGAAGGGCUGGCUAUGGGAAUUGCUGUGUAUGGCCCGAGUUUCUCAUGGUUCAACCAUAGCUGCUUUCCGAAUGCUUCGUACCGAUUUGUAUUGGCUCCUAAGAAUGAAGACUGUAUUUCACACCAAUCAAAUACAUGCGUAGUCCCUGCUAGCAAAGGAGUUGCAGCUGAUGUGUGGCAUGCUUGGCAGUAUGAGGAAGCCAAUUUUACCAACGGCAACGCACUCUGCAAAUAUGGUCCAAGAGUUGUUGUUCGCUGCACAAAACCAAUUAACAAGGGAGAUGAAGUUUGCAUAACAUACAUUGAUCUUCUCCAGACCAAGGAAGCAAGGCAUUCGGAUCUGUGGUUAAAGUAUAAAUUCAUUUGUUCUUGCAACCGCUGUAUAUCAGUACCAGAGUCUUAUGUGGAUCUUAUUUUGAAUUGUGAUGCUAGGGACUUAAAUAAACCAGAGGAUGUUGUAGCAGCUCCAACAGUUGAGGAUUUGGAUGAUGACUUACAACAAGCAAUAUCUGAAUACUCAUCAGGCGACGACGCCAAAGCUUGCUGUGAUAUGAUUGAAAGCAUGCUUUCUGAAAACUUGAUGAGAGAUUUGCAGAAAGGGGAACCUUCGGGGAGAAAACAUAUACUACACCCUCUUCACCGUGUCUGUUUUACUGCUUACAUGGCACUUGCCUCUGCUUACCGGUUUCGUGCCCUAAGUUAUAAAACAGGCAGUUUGUAUGGAGAAAAAAGUGAUGAUCUUUUCAGAAUGGCCAAAGCUGCAGCUGCUUAUUCAUUAGUACUUGCUGGAGCUAUGAAUCAUCUGUUCUUAUCUGAAUGUUCUUUUAUGAUGCCACUGUCGCAUUUUCUAAUAGGUGCUGGGCAGUCGUUGUUUUUUCUUGUUGAAUCUAUGAAGGGAGAGACGAGGCAGUAUUUAUCUGAGGCUAAGUUCACCUUUCCUUCAUGUCCAGAAAGUUCGGCAAAACUUGAUUCAGUGAAGUACAAUGAGUUCAGAUUAACUUGUGAAGGAUUUGGCAAACGAAUGUUAUCUUUGUCAUUUCAUUGCUGGUCAUUUCUUGUCCAAGGUUUACCCUGCCUGGAAAAGAUUAAGAAUCCUAUAGAUUUCAGUUGGCUUGGAACAGCAAUAUUUCCGUCUCUCCUUUCCGAGGAAGGUUAUGCCAAUCUUUGUGCACAUAAUCCUACACCUUUCACAAAGGAACAGAAAGAGUGCAUUCUUAGUUUGGCUAUUUGUUGUGUCACCUAUUGCAAAUACCUCACUAGUAUAUGCUAUGGCCCACAGCAUUAUCUGACAGACCAUGCUAAAGAUUUACUUGAAGUUAUCUUUUAGCCAGAUUUAGUCUUAUCUGCAGGGAUUACCACUUUUCAAAGUGUACUGGAGAGUGGAGACAUAUGAACAAUGGCUAUCAAAUUUCAUGCCCUGCAAUUACUGCUUUAUCUUGGUUCUCAUUUCUACAUCAACUAAGUCUAAUUACUUAAAGCUACAGAAGCUCCGGUGCUGACGAAGAUGGCUACAACAAGUCCAGCACGGAUGACUAUGGUAGCGGGGGCGGCCUACAACAAGUCCAGCACCGGCGACUAUGGUAGCGGGGGUGGCUACAACAAGUCCAGCACCGGCGACUACGGUAGCGGGGCGGCGACAACAAGUCCAGCACCACUUGUGUGUGUGUGUGUUAUAUGUAUAGUUGAUCCCAUCUUGAAGUAUUGAGAACGGAGAUCACCCUGAUUGUGCUAUACGCUCCGGUGUGUAUUUAUGUACCAGUGCUGCUUGGCAUGCACAACAUGUAAUCCUGCUUUGUCUGUACGUGCAUAAAAUGAGUUUCGCUCCGGUGGUCUCUUCCAUGAAAUUUGCACGAUUUUUAAAGCAGCUGAUUAUUAAUUUUAUUUU
Molecule: RNA transcript, 2689 nt
Organism: Panicum hallii
Lineage: Eukaryota; Viridiplantae; Streptophyta; Magnoliopsida; Poales; Poaceae
Gene name: protein SET DOMAIN GROUP 41
Exons: 8
Source: RefSeq, a predicted model, not a curated record